RNAcentral lists this ribosomal RNA (560 nucleotides) under uncultured bacterium. RNAcentral describes it as "bacterial SSU rRNA". It matches the Rfam family "Bacterial small subunit ribosomal RNA", at positions 355 to 896 of the family's 1533-position model. The record is from RNAcentral.
UAGGGAAUCUUCGGCAAUGGACGGAAGUCUGACCGAGCAACGCCGCGUGAGUGAAGAAGGUUUUCGGAUCGUAAAGCUCUGUUGUAAGAGAAGAACGAGUGUGAGAGUGGAAAGUUCACACUGUGACGGUAUCUUACCAGAAAGGGACGGCUAACUACGUGCCAGCAGCCGCGGUAAUACGUAGGUCCCGAGCGUUGUCCGGAUUUAUUGGGCGUAAAGCGAGCGCAGGCGGUUAGAUAAGUCUGAAGUUAAAGGCUGUGGCUUAACCAUAGUAAGCUUUGGAAACUGUUUAACUUGAGUGCAAGAGGGGAGAGUGGAAUUCCAUGUGUAGCGGUGAAAUGCGUNNNUAUGCGUAGAUAUAUGGAGGAACACCGGUGGCGAAAGCGGCUCUCUGGCUUGUAACUGACGCUGAGGCUCGAAAGCGUGGGGAGCAAACAGGAUUAGAUACCCUGGUAGUCCACGCUGUAAACGAUGAGUGCUAGGUGUUAGACCCUUUCCGGGGUUUAGUGCCGUAGCUAACGCAUUAAGCACUCCGCCUGGGGAGUACGACCGCAAGGUUG